This 490-nucleotide ribosomal RNA is filed under the name uncultured bacterium. RNAcentral describes it as "bacterial SSU rRNA". It matches the Rfam family "Bacterial small subunit ribosomal RNA", at positions 80 to 555 of the family's 1533-position model. The record is from RNAcentral.
UUGCUCCUCUGACGUUAGCGGCGGACGGGUGAGUAACACGUGGAUAACCUACCUAUAAGACUGGGAUAACUUCGGGAAACCGGAGCUAAUACCGGAUAAUAUAUUGAACCGCAUGGUUCAAUAGUGAAAGACGGUUUUGCUGCCACUUAUAGAUGGAUCCGCGCCGCAUUAGCUAGUUGGUAAGGUAACGGCUUACCAAGGCGACGAUGCGUAGCCGACCUGAGAGGGUGAUCGGCCACACUGGAACUGAGACACGGUCCAGACUCCUACGGGAGGCAGCAGUAGGGAAUCUUCCGCAAUGGGCGAAAGCCUGACGGAGCAACGCCGCGUGAGUGAUGAAGGUCUUCGGAUCGUAAAACUCUGUUAUUAGGGAAGAACAAAUGUGUAAGUAACUAUGCACGUCUCGACGGUACCUAAUCAGAAAGCCACGGCUAACUACGUGCCAGCAGCCGCGGUAAUACGUAGGUGGCAAGCGUUAUCCGGAAUUAUU